RNAcentral lists this ribosomal RNA (404 nucleotides) under Fusobacteriota bacterium. RNAcentral's name for it is "Fusobacteria bacterium partial 16S ribosomal RNA". It matches the Rfam family "Bacterial small subunit ribosomal RNA", at positions 355 to 776 of the family's 1533-position model. Lineage: Bacteria; Fusobacteriati; Fusobacteriota. The record is from RNAcentral.
UGGGGAAUAUUGCACAAUGGAGGGAACUCUGAUGCAGCGACGCCGCGUGAGUGAUGAAGGACUUCGUUUCGUAAAACUCUGUUCUAUGGGAAGAAAAGGACUGUACCAUAGGAGAAAGCUCCUGCUAAAUACGUGCCAGCAGCCGCGGUAAUACGUAUGGAGCGAGCGUUUUCCGGAAUUAUUGGGCGUAAAGGGUGCGCAGGCGGCUUUACAAGUUGGAUGUGAAAUAUUGUGGGUCAACGAGAAACGUGCAUCAAAAACUGAAAAGCUUGAGUUAAGGAGAGGUAAGUGGAAUUCCUGGUGUAGCGGUGGAAUGCGUAGAUAUCAGGAGGAAUACCGGUGGCGAAGGCGACUUACUGGACUUAAAAUGACGAUCAGGGACGAAAGCGUGGGGAGCAAAAAGG